UAAUUCCAUGUUUAAAGCAUAUAGGGCUUAUUUGUUUGCAUGAAAGUGGAGUGAAAGUGGGAGCGAAAAAGUAAUUUUCGAUAAAAAUUGACCAUUUUCGUUAUUUGGCUCGUCGUAAAAAAGUUACUAAAAAAGUUAUGAUCGAAACUCCAGUUAAUCUGAAACAAUGUAAUUGACUUCAACUCAUCAUUGGGCCGAAGUCAAUUACGUACGAUAAAAAGGUGAAGAAAAAAUAAUAAAAUAAUAUACUAGGUAAAGAUAGUUAUAUUAAUUUAAAUAUAUCUAAUAUGUUACUAAUUAUUUUUUAUUUAUUGGCAUAUUUAAAAUAUGAUAAAAUUUGAUUAGUUAAGUUUUAAUUUUUUUUUAUUUAGUUUGUACAAUUAAAAUAUAAUAAAAAUUUAUUAAUUAAGUAUUAAUAUUUUUUUACUUUACACUUUUAUUGUUGUAUUAAUAUAAUUGAUGUAUAAACAAAAUUUAGUUGCUUUAAAUUAAAUUUUAAUUAUAUAAAAAAUAAUUAUAUUAUUUUUAUUUAUUAAAUUAUUUAUUAUUUAUAUAUAAAUUAUAAUUUUAUAUCAUACACUUCCUACCAAACAAACAGUAGAAUUAAUGAAACUUCAUUUGCAUAACUAUGAAACAAACAGCGUAGGAAAAGUAAUUGUUAUCGAACUCCACUUCAAUCCAAAGUCCACCUCAAUUUAAAGUCCAGUUUCGAUAAAACAAGCAUAACCAUAAUAUGUAAUCGGAGCUAGGCUCCUAUGUUUUCGAAAGUACGGAGGUCUCCGUGCUUGUAAGUGGUUUUCGAUGAUGGAGCAUCCGAUUCGUUGAUCGGCUCCGUUAGAUAUGAUCUACAGUAUUGGAAACUAUUUAGAAACCAAAUUUAAUAAAUUUUUAACUUUUUUUGCCUAGUGAAUGAGUAGGCUCAAAAUGAACGAUUGAAAAUAAAAAUCUCAUAAAAAUAGUAAUAAAAGACUCAAAUUUCAAAUCGAAAGUAUUGUUCUUACUCUUAGGGAGCAUUUGGUUCGCAUUAUGAAAGAUUACUAGGAAUAAAAGAUAUCCGAGAAUUUUAUUCCUAUUCAUCUUAUUACUAAGAAUGUGGAAUUUCUGUGUUUGGUUCGCACGAUAAUAUUAAUUAGCCAUAUUAUUUAUUAUUAUAAAAAAUAUACAAUUAAUUAAUUAAUUAAUUAAUUAAUUUUAGAUAAUGUUACCAAAAAUUUCAAUAUUUUUUUAGAAAAAAAGGAGAGAGAGUAUAAGUUAGAAAAAGAGCAUAAUUAAAAAAAUAGAAAGAAAAAUAUAGUCGAAAUUAGAAGGAGUGAGAGAGUUGAAAUUUUAGAAAGAGAGAGAGAGAAAAAGCUUAGUUUAGAGAGAGAAAAAAAAGUUGAAUUUUAGAGAGAAAAAUAAGUUUAGAAAGAGAUAUAAGGUUAGAGUGUAAAGAAAAAUAAUAUCAAUUAAAUAAUAUCAAUUAAUCGGCGGGUAAGAAGAAAGAAAAAUAUUAGACAUAUUAUGAUUACCCCAAUCUAUUAAUAUAAGGAUACCCACCCUUAGAAUGAGAUUAGUCCUUUGGGGUGAAUCUUAUUCCCAAGUGAAUCUAAUAUUACCAACUAGAUUACUUAGUGCGUUUAACCAAACACCGUCAUAUUUUUUUAUUCCCAUUGGAUUACUAGGAAUCUUUAAAAGAUAACGCGAACCAAAUGCACCCUAAAUGUUAAGUGAAAUUUUCUAUUAAAAUUUCAUGUAAUUUGAAUUUUUCUACACUGUUGAAAUUUAAAAUGCGCUACAUCGGCCGUUAAAAUAGUUAUUUUUGAGACUCUUUGAUUACUUAAUAAAUGAUGUCGAAAUAUUAUGAAAUUUAGUUUCUAAAUAGUUCAAUAGCGUAGAUUAUGCCUAACAGGAUCGAUCACCGAAUUGGAUGCUCCAUUAUAAAAAAUAACUUAUAAACACGGAAGGUUCCGUACUUUUGAAAGUAUAGAACACGUACUCUAUUUAAUAAUUAGAAACAUAUGAACUUUC
Molecule: long non-coding RNA, 2007 nt
Filed under: Ananas comosus (pineapple)
Lineage: Eukaryota; Viridiplantae; Streptophyta; Magnoliopsida; Poales; Bromeliaceae
Description: long non-coding RNA (ACOM_LNC004606)
Source: RNAcentral